UGGGGAAUAUUGGACAAUGGGGGCAACCCUGAUCCAGCAAUACCGCGUGUGUGAAGAAGGCCUUCGGGUUGUAAAGCACUUUCAGUUGGGAAGAAGUGUAUUAUUUGAAUAGAGUAGUGCAUUGACGUUACCGACAGAAGAAGCACCGGCUAACUCUGUGCCAGCAGCCGCGGUAAUACAGAGGGUGCAAGCGUUAAUCGGAAUUACUGGGCGUAAAGGGCGCGUAGGUUGCUAUGUAAGUUGGAUGUGAAAUGUUCGGGCUUAACCUGAAACGGCCAUCCAAUACUGCAUAGCUAGAGUACAGUAGAGGGAAGGGGAAUUUCCGGUGUAGCGGUGAAAUGCGUAGAUAUCGGAAGGAACAUCAGUGGCGAAGGCGCUUCCUGGACUGAUACUGACACUGAGGCGCGACAGCGUGGGGAGCGAACAGGAUUAGAUACCCAUGUAGUCCCUGAGCGGGCUGGCAAGGCGCAU
This 471-nucleotide ribosomal RNA is filed under the name uncultured bacterium. RNAcentral describes it as "bacterial SSU rRNA". It matches the Rfam family "Bacterial small subunit ribosomal RNA", at positions 355 to 825 of the family's 1533-position model. The record is from RNAcentral.